GUUGAUAUCUUGCCUAACAGGGAAUUCAUGCUAUAUGGACGAUCUGCCAAUAGUCCCCCAUAUGGAGGGCCUCCUAAUGAUCCACCAUAUGGAAGACCUGCCAUUGAUCCACCAUAUGGAAGACCUGCCAUUGAUCCACCAUAUGGAAGACCAGCCAUUGAUCCACCAUAUAGAAGACCUGCCAAUGAUACAUCAUAUGGAGGGUUGAACAAUGAUGGGCCUCGUGAUCCUUACACUGCGUAUCCUGUAGAGUACUUCUCUAAAAGAGAGUACCCUAGUGGAAAUAGCAAAGUUACACCAUCUGCUUCAUACGACAGAUAUGCAGCAACUACUCGCUUGCCUAAUAGAGAACUGCCCUCAUCUAUUAGUCCUGGUGCCGAUUAUAUGUCCCGCCGUUCUUAUCUUGACCAAGUAC
This 415-nucleotide long non-coding RNA is filed under the name Oryza sativa (Asian cultivated rice). RNAcentral describes it as "long non-coding RNA (OSAT_LNC001875)". The record is from RNAcentral. Lineage: Eukaryota; Viridiplantae; Streptophyta; Magnoliopsida; Poales; Poaceae.